RNAcentral lists this ribosomal RNA (378 nucleotides) under uncultured organism. RNAcentral's name for it is "partial 16S ribosomal RNA". It matches the Rfam family "Bacterial small subunit ribosomal RNA", at positions 527 to 896 of the family's 1533-position model. The record is from RNAcentral.
AGAGGGUGCAAGCGUUAAUCGGAGUUACUGGGCGUAAAGCGUGCGUAGGCGGAUAUUCAAGUCGAGUGUGAAAGACCCCCGGGGCGUUAACCUGGGAACUGCGCUCGAUACUGAAUGUCUAGAGUAUGGGAGAGGAAAGUGGAAUUUCCGGUGUAGCGGUGAAAUGCGUAGAUAUCGGAAAGAACACCAGUGGCGAAGGCGGCUUUCUGGCCUAAUACUGACGCUGAGGUACGAAAGCGUGGGGAGCAAACAGGAUUAGAGACCCUGGUAGUCCACGCCGUAAACGAUGAGAACUAGAUGUUGGUUCUGCUAUUGCAGAAUAAGUGUCGAAGCUAACGCGUUAAGUUCUCCGCCUGGGGAGUACGGUCGCAAAGAUUA